CCUACGGGUGGCAGCAGUGGGGAAUAUUGCACAAUGGGGGAAACCCUGAUGCAGCGACGCCGCGUGAGUGAAGAAGUAUUUCGGUAUGUAAAGCUCUAUCAGCAGGGAAGAAAUAGCGCCCUUUGGGUUGCCAGACGGUACCCGAUUAAGAAGCCCCGGCUAACUACGUGCCAGCAGCCGCGGUAAUACGUAGGGGGCAAGCGUUAUCCGGAUUUACUGGGUGGAAAGGGGGCGUAGACGGCAGCGCAAGUCUGAAGUGAAAUGCCGGGGCUUAACCCCGGAACUGCUUUGGAAACUGUGCAGCUAGAGUGCAGGAGAGGUAGGUGGAAUUCCUAGUGUAGCGGUGAAAUGCGUAGAUAUUAGGAGGAACACCAGUGGCGAAGGCGGCUUACUGGACUGUAACUGACGUUGAGGCUCGAAAGCGUGGGGAGCAAACAGGAUUAGAUACCCGGGUAGUC
RNAcentral lists this ribosomal RNA (458 nucleotides) under uncultured bacterium. RNAcentral describes it as "partial 16S ribosomal RNA". It matches the Rfam family "Bacterial small subunit ribosomal RNA", at positions 338 to 795 of the family's 1533-position model. The record is from RNAcentral.